RNAcentral lists this ribosomal RNA (497 nucleotides) under uncultured bacterium. RNAcentral describes it as "partial 16S ribosomal RNA". It matches the Rfam family "Bacterial small subunit ribosomal RNA", at positions 28 to 507 of the family's 1533-position model. The record is from RNAcentral.
GAUGAACGCUGGCGGCGUGCCUAAUACAUGCAAGUCGAGCGAACAGACGAGGAGCUUGCUCCUCUGACGUUAGCGGCGGACGGGUGAGUAACACGUGGAUAACCUACCUAUAAGACUGGGAUAACUUCGGGAAACCGGAGCUAAUACCGGAUAACAUGUUGAACCGCAUGGUUCAACAGUGAAAGACGGUCUUUCUGUCACUUAUAGAUGGAUCCGCGCCGCAUUAGCUAGUUGGUAAGGUAACGGCUUACCAAGGCAACGAUGCGUAGCCGACCUGAGAGGGUGAUCGGCCACACUGGAACUGAGACACGGUCCAGACACCUACGGGAGGGAGCAGUAGGGAAUCUUCCGCAAUGGGCGAAAGCAUGACGGAGCAACGCGGCGUGAGUGAAGAAGGUCUUCGGAUCGUAAAACUCUGUUAUUAGGGAAGAACAAAUGUGUAAGUAACUAUGCACGUCUUGACGGUACCUAAUCAGAAAGCCACGGCUAACUACGUG